UACGUAGGGCGCAAGCGUUGUCCGGAAUUAUUGGGCGUAAAGAGCUCGUAGGCGGCUUGUCACGUCGGGUGUGAAAGCCCGGGGCUUAACCCCGGGUCUGCAUUCGAUACGGGCUGGCUGGAGUGUGGUAGGGGAGAUCGGAAUUCCUGGUGUAGCGGUGAAAUGCGCAGAUAUCAGGAGGAACACCGGUGGCGAAGGCGGAUCUCUGGGCCAUUACUGACGCUGAGGAGCGAAAGCGUGGGGAGCGAACAGG
This 253-nucleotide ribosomal RNA is filed under the name uncultured bacterium. Its description in RNAcentral is "partial 16S ribosomal RNA". It matches the Rfam family "Bacterial small subunit ribosomal RNA", at positions 524 to 776 of the family's 1533-position model. The record is from RNAcentral.